UGGUAAUGAUGGCAGAGAGGUCACACCUGUUCCCAUACCGAACACGGAAGUUAAGCUCUCUAGCGCCGAUGGUAGUUGGGACCUUGUCCCUGUGAGAGUAGGACGUUGCCAGGCA
Molecule: ribosomal RNA, 115 nt
Filed under: Bacillus cereus HuB4-4
Lineage: Bacteria; Bacillati; Bacillota; Bacilli; Caryophanales; Bacillaceae
Source: RNAcentral